Molecule: transfer RNA, 77 nt
Filed under: Escherichia coli
Lineage: Bacteria; Pseudomonadati; Pseudomonadota; Gammaproteobacteria; Enterobacterales; Enterobacteriaceae
Also listed under: 2 other names
Description: tRNA-Arg
Rfam family: tRNA
About the family: Transfer RNA (tRNA) molecules are approximately 80 nucleotides in length.
Source: RNAcentral
GCAUCCGUAGCUCAGCUGGAUAGAGUACUCGGCUACGAACAGAGCGGUCGGAGGUUCGAAUCCUCCCGGAUGCACCA